Molecule: ribosomal RNA, 474 nt
Filed under: uncultured bacterium
Lineage: Bacteria
Description: bacterial SSU rRNA
Rfam family: Bacterial small subunit ribosomal RNA
Source: RNAcentral
UACGGAAGGCAGCAGUGGGGAAUAUUGCACAAUGGGCGAAAGCCUGAUGCAGCUAUGCCGCGUGUAUGAAGAAGGCCUUAGGGUUGUAAAGUACUUUCAUCGGGGAGGAAAAAACAAAACUAAUAAUUUUAUUUCUUGACGUUACCCGAAAAAGAAGCACCGGCUAACUCCGUGCCAGCAGCCGCGGUAAUACGGAGGGUGCUAGCGUUAAUCAGAAUUACUGGGCGUAAAGAGCACGUAGGUGGUUUUUUUAAGUCAGAUGUGAAAUCCCUGGGCUUAACCUAGGAACUGCAUUUUGAAACUGAAAUACUAGAGUAUCGUAGAGGGAGGUAGAAUUCUAGGUGUAGCGGUGAAAUGCGUAGAUAUCUGGAGGAAUACCUGUGGCGAAAGCGGCCUCCUAAACGAAUACUGACACUGAGGUGCGAAAGCGUGGGGAGCAAACAGGGAUUAGAUACCCUUGAACUGCCAAGGCAC